AGCAUAGUUGGUUUAUGCAGUCGCCUUAUAAGCGAAAGAGUGAAAGUUCAAAUCUUUCC
This 59-nucleotide transfer RNA is filed under the name Quinella sp. 1Q5. RNAcentral's name for it is "tRNA-Ile". It matches the Rfam family "tRNA", at positions 9 to 64 of the family's 71-position model. Rfam says of the family: Transfer RNA (tRNA) molecules are approximately 80 nucleotides in length. Their secondary structure includes four short double-helical elements and three loops (D, anti-codon, and T loops). The record is from RNAcentral. Lineage: Bacteria; Bacillati; Bacillota; Negativicutes; Veillonellales; Veillonellaceae.